This 69-nucleotide transfer RNA is filed under the name Ictidomys tridecemlineatus (thirteen-lined ground squirrel). RNAcentral's name for it is "Spermophilus tridecemlineatus (thirteen-lined ground squirrel) tRNA". It matches the Rfam family "tRNA". From Rfam's summary of the family: Transfer RNA (tRNA) molecules are approximately 80 nucleotides in length. Their secondary structure includes four short double-helical elements and three loops (D, anti-codon, and T loops). The record is from Rfam by way of RNAcentral. Lineage: Eukaryota; Metazoa; Chordata; Mammalia; Rodentia; Sciuridae.
GGGGCUGGGGCUCAGUGGCAGAGCACUUGCCUAGCAUGCAUGAGGAGCUGGGUUCGAUUCCCAGCACCA